Molecule: long non-coding RNA, 7580 nt
Filed under: Triticum aestivum (bread wheat)
Lineage: Eukaryota; Viridiplantae; Streptophyta; Magnoliopsida; Poales; Poaceae
Description: long non-coding RNA (TAES_LNC015646)
Source: RNAcentral
GGGAGACGAGCCUAGAUUAUCUCCUCCAUCCUCCCGUUCCACUCUUACCCAUUUCCGCUUCACUGUCCGCCGGACGACGACCAAAUCCCCACGAAAUCCCUAGGGCUUCUCCGCGAGCACGGCCAGCGGGAGAGCCGAGGACAAAUUAAACCACGGAGAAAGACGACGGACCGGCGAAGGGUCCCGCAGCAGUUCGACGGGGUGAGGGCGGGGCGCGCCCGCCGGAGAAGGAGGAGAAGGUAGCAGCUACGGGAAGAUGGCGGGGGUGGAGCUGGUGGUUCUACGGGAGGCGGCGGCGACCCCGGGGGGAGACGUGAGAUCCUGCUGCUUCGACGACGAACCCGAGGUCAGUUUGUCCUACCUUCCCCGCUCGCUCACACACCUCGCGGGUUGUUGGGGUUUCGUCGCCGACGCCAUCGUCGUCAUUAACGGACGCAGAAUAGAUCGCUGAUGGUUCCGCGGGGGGUAGAUCAAACGAAUAGGCUCCGAGGAAUAGGGAGGGAGGGGAAGGGAUUUUUUGGCUGCUGGAUCCUUUGUGUUUUCGUGGAGGUGCUCCAGAUGUAGGAUGCGGCAUCCUCUGUUCAUCUGAGUUUUUCUCAGUAAGCACUACUGGAACCUACAGGGAUCCUAUUCACCUACGCAGGCACAGAGUAACAUCGUGUUUUGGUAGGCAAAUCAGACAUGAGAUAGGCAAUAAUCAGGCAUACUGAUCCUAUUCACCUACGCAGACAUACUAAUAAUGGGUUAGUAUGCAAUAAUCAGACAUAGGUUAGUAUGCAACCAGACAUAGGCUAGCAGGAAAUCAGAAUAGAAAUAGGCAACACUUUUAGCUUUUGUGGGCAAUUAGAAAGAAGAUAAGUAGGCAAUAAUCAGAAUAGAAAUAGGCUACACUUUUUGUUUCUGUAGGCAAUUAGAAAGAAGAUAAGUAGACAAUAGUGAGUAUGAAAAGAUGCGGGUUUAAUUACUUCAGAGAAAUUAUCACAAGCAGAUGAAGAUAUGUGUAUUUUCUAGAGUGGUUUUAGAAACUGUCAGCAUGCCCCAAAUCUGAUCUAUGAUGACUUCUCAAUGAAUCCAUUGGAACAGAAUCAAUAGCAUCCUUUUUUUGAUUUUCUUCAUGUGCAAUAUUUUUUCCGGACAAGCAUCUUUCUCUCUCUGUGAUGAGUAGUGCCCAAUGCUUCUGCUUCUCUUGGGAGAGUUGCACAUUUCCACUCCUGAGUUUAUUUCAGCUUCACUGUUUGCUGAGUUUAGUGGAGUAACAUUUUUAGAAUUAGUACACUGUGGAAAUACCACAGGGCCUUUUCAUUCUUUUUUCCUUUUUUCCAGGUUUAUUUUGUCCAAUCUGCUGACACCGAAACAGGAUACAGCUACGAAAAUUAUAUUUUUAGGUAUUCCAGGAUCAUAGUCCAGUUGAUCAGGGGUGGGGGUGGGCAAGUUUUUGCAAAUGAAUCUGUAGUUAUCAUAGGCAAGUUUUUCUCAAAUGCAGGCUGGUAGGGGUCAGGGAGCCUUUACAGCACGGCAAAUAUACAUAGCUGACUGAUAGGGUUUUUUUGGGGAAUUUUUCACUGAUAGUUUUUAACAAAGAAGCCACACGAAGCUCACAUAUCUCUUCCCACAUGCUUGUAUUUUUUCACAGCAGGGACAGAUUUGUUUUUUGUUGCUGAAAACACGGGAUUGAUCGCCUCCCAAUUUUCAUCAAGUUGCCCAAGGAUAGCAGACAGCCAAAAUCGCCUAACCACGCACGGCAAGUCGGCAAAAUCAACGAGCUUUAGUCGCCUACUAAACAACACUUCGGUGUCGCCCACCGCCAUGUGCUUAGUCGCCUUCCAUUUUUUCAUCAAGUCGCCCAAGGAAAGCAGACACCCAAAAAUCGACUAACAGGGAGGGGGCGCAUCUCGCCUACCAGAGUCAGCUAGUGUUACCUCACCUGACGAACCAAGUCGUCUAGAAAACCCACGACCAUCCACCUCGAAAUUGCCUAACACGCAGGGACGCAUCUUGCCUCCCUCGGUGGCCUAGUGUUGCCUCACCAGACGAACCAAGUCGCCCAAAAACUCAUGACCACCCAACCCAAAAUCGCCUAACACGGGAGGGGGCGCUUCUUGCCUCCCUCGAUGGCCUAGUGUUGCCUCACCAGACAAACCAAGUCGCCCAAAAACUCAUGACCACCCAACCCCAAAUCGCCUAAUACGGGAGGGAGCGCCUCUCGCCUCCCUCGGUGGCCUAGUGUUGCCUCACCAGACAAACCAAGUCGCCCAAAAACUCAUGACCACCCAACNNNNNNNNNNNNNNNNNNNNNNNNNNNNNNNNNNNNNNNNNNNNNNNNNNNNNNNNNNNNNNNNNNNNNNNNNNNNNNNNNNNNNNNNNNNNNNNNNNNNNNNNNNNNNNNNNNNNNNNNNNNNNNNNNNNNNNNNNNNNNNNNNNNNNNNNNNNNNNNNNNNNNNNNNNNNNNNNNNNNNNNNNNNNNNNNNNNNNNNNNNNNNNNNNNNNNNNNNNNNNNNNNNNNNNNNNNNNAACCCAUGACCAUCCACACCCGAAUUUUCCUAACACGGGAGGGGGCGCUUCUUGCCUCCCUCGGUGGCCUAGUGUCGCCUCACUAGAUGGAUCAAGUCGCCCAAAAACUCUUGACCACCCAACCAAAAAUCGCCUAACACGGGAGGGGGCACUUCUUGCCUCCCUCGGUGGCCUAGUGUCACCUCACCAAACGAACCAAGUUGCCCAAAAACUCAUGACCACCCAACCCAAAAUCGCCUAACACGGGAGGGAGCGCAUCUCGCCUCCCUCGGUGGCCUAUUGUCGCCUCACCAGACAAACCAAGUUGCCCAAAAACUCAUGACCACCCAACCCAAAAUCGCCUAACACGAAAGGAUGCAUCUCGCUACCUCGGUGGCCUAGUGUUGCCUCACCAGACGAACCAAGUCACCUAACACGAAGGGACGUAUAUCGCCUACCCCUGGUGGCGACUUGGUUCGCAUCACCCGACGAACUAAGUCGCCUAAGAACCCAUGACCGCCUACCCGCAUAUCACAUAAGACGGGGGGAUGCAUCUCGCCUAACACGAAGGGGGGGGGGGGCAUUGCGAAUCGAAAAUGUAAAGGAACCAAACACUAAAAUCGCUAAAAUCAAACCAAACUCAGUGAGCAGCCUUUACAUAGUUGCAGGGAAAUUUUCUACUACUAGGUUCUUGGGUUUUUUUUGCCUCCCUUUCUUUUGUGUUCUUGUAAGCAUCUAGACUUCAACUACAAGCUUUUUAUUUUGCGAGGAACUACAAAUACAUUAUUGGCCAUUUUUGUCUUGUGGACACCCAGCCCAAACCAGGGAGACACGGUAGCAAGACACAUGCACGCUGAAAGAAACCAAAUACAGUUGGAAAAGAUAGCAUAUGUCUUACAAGUUAAUCUUUAAUGAAAGAGCAAAUUAAACUACAUGUUAAUCAUAAUGGAAGAGCAAACUGCACUGCACUAACAACAGAAACUUGUCUUUCCAGAAUAGUAGUUCAGUCAAAAAGGAACGUGAUAGAUUCUUCUUUUGUAGUGGGAUUGCAGAACAUUGCGUUUAUAAGCAGCCAUACAUCAUGAAUAGUUAUAGAUUUUAAAGAUUUUCAGAAUACUGUGUUUACCAGAAUAGAUUAAGCAAGCAGAAAGUAGAGGAUUUUAAAAUCUACAAAAUAGUCACUUAAGCCAUACAUAGCUACUUUUGUUCCAUGAGCAAUAGCAAUUAUAAUGGAAAUUAAUGACUCGGACUGAGGAACAUACCACAGAUACAAGCAUCCGUGUACAUUAAACUGAGGAACAUACAAUGGUUUUUUUGCCUACCCUUUCUUGUGUGUUCUUCUAAGCAUCUAGACUUCAAAUACAAGCUAUUUGUUUUGUGAGCAACUACAAAUACAUUAUUGCCCAUUUUUAACUAUGCACAGAUUGCCUACACAGAUUACCAACACACAAUAACUCUGCUUCUUUUUUUCUGUUCUUUUUUUUUUUUUGCAGACACAAGGUGCAAGACAAUAGAGAAGAUGCAAUUCAAGAGUCAACAACUUUUAUCUAUAAUCCAGUUCUACAGGGUACAGGGGAUGCAAGAACAGGGGAGACAAGAUACAAGUCAAGGUCUGCAACACUUUUGUACAGGGGGGCAAUUCUUGCAACUAGAAGAUUAGGGGGGACGGAGGUACAGAGAGGGAAAUCAACUAGUUUUAGCAGUAAAAGAAGUUCAUGGCCAGAAAUUUCUGGAACAACACCUUUUUUACCUUCCCUGUUUUCACUGGGGGAAACUUGCCCAGCUACACCAAUUCUCUUGCCCACAAUUCUUCAGAUUUAUUGCCUGAUCAGCAUGAAGAAUUGCAGACACAUUUUUUUGGGCGUGUUCUGAUCUUUCUUCUCCACGAUUUUGUGCCUUGAUCUCUUGCCCUUUUUACUUCUGUUUUUUCGCUGUGGGAGGAGAGCUCACCAAACGCUAGGCAUUGGCGUCUGGCGGCGGCUGGGGGGAAGGAGUCGCACGGGGGAUCUGGUCUGGUGGGGCGUAGGAUUUUCUGGUGGUGGGUGUGAAAGAAGGAUCACGUGAGGGGAUGGUUGUCGGGACCUGGCAACGAGAAGUGGAAGACUUGCCUUUUUCACACAUGGGCGGGGGACCGACAGGGAUGCACCUUCCAUAAAUUACCGGCCACGAGCCUAGCCCGCAUAGCGCGCGGGCGCUGUGUAGCACCGUCCUUAUAUUUUUAGGUAUUCCAGGAUCAUAGUCCAGUUGAUCAGGGGUGGGGGUGGGCAAGUUUUUGCAAAUGAAUCUGUAGUUAUCAUAGGCAAGUUUUUCUCAAAUGCAGACUGGUAGGGGUCAGGGAGCCUUUAGAGCACGGCAAAUAUACAUAGCUGACUGAUAGGGUUUUUUUGGGGAAUUUUUCACUGAUAGUUUUUAACAAAGAAGCCACACGAAGCUCACAUAUCUCUUCCCACAUGCUUGUAUUUUUUCACAGCAGGGACAUAUUUGUUUUUUGUUGCUGAAAACACGGGAUUGAUCGCCUCCCAAUUUUCAUCAAGUUGCCCAAGGAUAGCAGACAGCCAAAAUCGCCUAACCACGCACGGCAAGUCGGCAAAAUCAACGAGCUUUAGUCGCCUACUAAACAACACUUCGGUGUCGCCCACCGCCAUGUGCUUAGUCGCCUUCCAUUUUUUCAUCAAGUCGCCCAAGGAAAGCAGACACCCAAAAAUCGACUAACAGGGAGGGGGUGCAUCUCGCCUACCAGAGUCAGCUAGUGUUACCUCACCUGACGAACCAAGUCGUCUAGAAAACCCACGACCAUCCACCUCCAAAUUGCCUAACACGCAGGGACGCAUCUUGCCUCCCUCGGUGGCCUAGUGUUGCUUCACCAGAUGAACCAAGUCGCCCAAAAACUCAUGACUACCCAAUCCAAAAUCGCCUAACACGGGAGGGGGCGCUUCUUGCCUCCCUCGAUGGCCUAGUGUUGCCUCACCAGGCAAACCAAGUCGCCCAAAAACUCAUGACCACCCAACCCCAAAUCGCCUAAUACGGGAGGGAGCGCCUCUCGCCUCCCUCGGUGGCCUAGUGUUGCCUCACCAGACAAACCAAGUCGCCCAAAAACUCAUGACCAUCCAACCCAAAAUCGCCUAAUACGGGAGGGAGUGCAUCUCGCCUCCCUCGGUGGCCUAGUGUUGCCUCGCCUGACAAACCAAGUCGCCUAGAAAACCCAUGACCAUCCACACCCGAAUUUUCCUAACACGGGAGGGGGCGCUUCUUGCCUCCCUCGGUGGCCUAGUGUCGCCUCACUAGAUGGAUCAAGUCGCCCAAAAACUCUUGACCACCCAACCAAAAAUCGCCUAACACGGGAGGGGGCACUUCUUGCCUCCCUCGGUGGCCUAGUGUCACCUCACCAAACGAACCAAGUUGCCCAAAAACUCAUGACCACCCAACCCAAAAUCGCCUAACACGGGAGGGAGCGCAUCUCGCCUCCCUCGGUGGCCUAUUGUCGCCUCACCAGACAAACCAAGUUGCCCAAAAACUCAUGACCACCCAACCCAAAAUCGCCUAACACGAAAGGAUGCAUCUCGCUACCUCGGUGGCCUAGUGUUGCCUCACCAGACGAACCAAGUCACCUAACACGAAGGGACGUAUAUCGCCUACCCCUGGUGGCGACUUGGUUCGCAUCACCCGACGAACUAAGUCGCCUAAGAACCCAUGACCGCCUACCCGCAUAUCNNNNNNNNNNNNNNNNNNNNNNNNNNNNNNNNNNNNNNNNNNNNNNNNNNNNNNNNNNNNNNNNNNNNNNNNNNNNNNNNNNNNNNNNNNNNNNNGGGGGGGGGGGCAUUGCGAAUCGAAAAUGUAAAGGAACCAAACACUAAAAUCGCUAAAAUCAAACCAAACUCAGUGAGCAGCCUUUACAUAGUUGCAGGGAAAUUUUCUACCACUAUGUUCUUGGGUUUUUUUGCCUCCCUUUCUUUUGUGUUCUUGUAAGCAUCUAGACUUCAACUACAAGCUUUUUAUUUUGCGAGCAACUACAAACACAUUAUUGGCCAUUUUUGUCUUGUGGACACCCAGCCCAAACCAGGGAGACACGGUAGCAAGACACAUGCACGCUGAAAGAAACCAAAUACAGUUGGAAAAGAUAGCAUAUGUCUUACAAGUUAAUCUUUAAUGAAAGAGCAAAUUAAACUACAUGUUAAUCAUAAUGGAAGAGCAAACUACACUGCACUAACAACAGAAACUUGUCUUUCCAGAAUAGUAGUUCAGUCAAAAAGGAACGUGAUAGAUUCUUCUUUUGUAGUGGGAUUGCAGAACAUUGCGUUUAUAAGCAGCCAUACAUCAUGAAUAGUUAUAGAUUUUAAAAAUUUUCAGAAUACUGUGUUUACCAGAAUAGAUUAAGGAAGCAGAAAGUAGAGGAUUUUAAAAUCUACAAAAUAGUCACUUAAGCCAUACAUAGCUACUUUUGUUCCAUGAGCAAUAGCAAUUAUAAUGGAAAUUAAUGACUCGGACUGAGGAACAUACCACAGAUACAAGCAUCCGUGUACAUUAAAGUGAGGAACAUACAAUGGUUUUUUUGCCUACCCUUUCUUGUGUGUUCUUCUAAGCAUCUAGACUUCAACUACAAGCUAUUUGUUUUGUGAGCAACUACAAAUAUAUUAUUGCCCAUUUUUAACUAUGCACAGAUUGCCUACACAGAUUACCAACACACAAUAACUCUGCUUCUUUUUUUCUGUUCUUUUUUUUUUGCAGACACAAGGUGCAAGACAAUAGAGAAGAUGCAAUUCAAGAGUCAACAACUUUUAUCUAUAAUCCAGUUCUACAGGGUACAGGGGAUGCAAGAACAGGGGAGACAAGAUACAAGUCAAGGUCUGCAACACUUUUGUACAGGGGGGCAAUUCUUGCAACUAGAAGAUUAGGGGGGACGGAGGUACAGAGAGGGAAAUCAACUAGUUUUAGCAGUAAAAGAAGUUCAUGGCCAGAAAUUUCUGGAACAACACCUUUUUUACCUUCCUUGUUUUCACUGGGGAAACUUGCCCAGCUACACCAAUUCUCUUGCCCACAAUUCUCCAGAUUUAUUGCCUGAUCAGCAUAAAGAAUUGCAGACACAUUUUUUU